Molecule: long non-coding RNA, 571 nt
Filed under: Calidris pugnax (ruff)
Lineage: Eukaryota; Metazoa; Chordata; Aves; Charadriiformes; Scolopacidae
Description: lncRNA (ENSCPUG00000008787.1)
Source: RNAcentral
CGCCGAAGUCUGUAUGGAAUUACCUGCGCCCGCCGCGGAGCUGGCACCGGUGGAUGGAUGGGCGCCGCGUCCGCGGCACCGGCGGCCAGCUCAGCCCCAGGAGUAAACACGGGGCUUCUCCGGCCGAGUGCGCAGUGUGGUGACCGGCGCUCGCCCCGCUGACCGAUCGCACCGGAGGGAUAUUUUCGGGAGGCUCCUGUGGGAAGCAACCACGGAAAGACAGAAAAUGAAAGCUCCUAUUCCCAACUUGAUUCUCUUGUAUGCUACUCUGACUCAGAGCUUGAAGGUCGUGACCAAAAGGGGAUCAGGAAGAAGCAAAAACCUUGAAUUGUUAAUGGAUUGUACAAUUUUGCUUUGAUUUUGCUGCUCUCUCACGGGAUAAGAAAUUGGAAAAAUACUUCCUUAGAGUUAUUGUAGCGCUGUCAUAGUCAAGUGUAACAACUUCAUUGUGUUAAGCUCCACGUAUAUCAAGAGAAACAAAAUUAUCCUAUUUCUGUGUAUGUGCAACUAUGCUAAGAGAAAUUAUCUGCAGGGAAAUAAAUUCUAUUUCAGGUUGAGAUUGGAAAAAAAA